AAUGAACGUUGGCGGCGUGGAUUAGGCAUGCGAGUCGUGCGAGAAUCGUAGCAAUACGAGAACAGCGGCGCAAGGGAGAGGAAUAAGUAGAAAUCUACCCUCGGGUCGGGGAUAGCGGCGGGAAACUGCCGGUAAUACCCGAUAACGUCUUUGGACCAAAGGUGUGAUUCCGUCUGAGGAUGAGUCUACUUCCUAUUAGCUAGUUGGCGGGGUAAUGGCCCACCAAGGCAACGAUGGGUAGCAGGUGUGAGAGCAUGACCUGCCUCAUUGGGACUGAGACACUGCCCAGACACCUACGGGUGGCUGCAGUCGAGAAUCUUCGGCAAUGGACGAAAGUCUGACCGAGCGACGCCGCGUGCGGGAUGAAGGCCUUCGGGUUGUAAACCGCUGUCGGAGGGGAACAAGUGUACGGGGGUUCUCCCCUGUAUUUGAGUGAACCUAGGAGGAAGGAGAGGCUAAGCUCGUGCCAGCAGCCGCCGUAA
Molecule: ribosomal RNA, 482 nt
Filed under: uncultured bacterium
Lineage: Bacteria
Description: partial 16S ribosomal RNA
Rfam family: Bacterial small subunit ribosomal RNA
Source: RNAcentral